UAUGAUUAAAUCAACACAAGAGUAUUUUGGUAAUUUGUUUACUAAAAUCAUUUGAAUGGAAAUGAAAAUAAAAAAAUAAACAUAAGAUCCACUUAGAUGAUUCAUCUAUAUGAGCUAUGUGGAUGGACAAACAAAUAAUCACAAAAAUCUGAAUGAAUCAUUUGAAUAGAUCAUACAAAUGAAUCAUUUGGAUGGAGAUGACAAAUGGUGAAACAAACAGCCCCUAUGUUAUUACAAAAUGGGUGGAGAAUAUUAACAAUUCUAUGAAUGGUUCCAUUGUAUUUUGAGCAUCCUUAAUAUCAUUUGAUUUAACAUACAUAAAAUAAAAAGAUUUCACAACACAAAAGACACUUUUUAAGUGGAAAAUCUAUACUAAUAAAAGGAAGCUUUUGAGACUACAUAGAGCGUUCACAUCAGCGGUAAAAAAUUCUUCUAAAAAAUGACAUUUGGCAUUAACAAAAAAUAAAAAAUAAAUAUACAUAGAAAGAAAAAUAAAUAAUAAGUAAAUAUACAACAUAAGAAAUAGAAAUAUUACAUUAAACAUUUAUACGUAAAUAUACAAUAUAAGGAAAAAUAAAUGAAAAAUAAAUAUACAUUAUAAGAAAUAGAAAUAUUACAUUAAACAUCUAUAAUAAUUUAUCAUCUAAUAUAAAAGCAAGAAAAUUAGAAUAAGUAAAUAUAUAAUAAAAAAAUAAAAAAAUUAUAUUAAACAUCUAUCUGAAAAAUGUAUCUAUACUAAUAAAAUGGAGCUUUUAAGGCUCAAUAGAGCGUCCACAUCAGCGAAAAAAAACAUUUUGUGAAAGAUGACACGUGUCAUCAGUAAAAAAUAAAAAAAUAAAUAUACAUAUAAAGAAAAAUAAAUAAUAAGUAAAUAUACAAUAUAAAAAAGAAAAUUAUUACAUUAAACAAUAAUAAGUGAGGCUCCAUAGGGCGUCGACAUCAGCGGUAAAAAUGUUUUCUAAAAAAUGACACGUGGCAUUAACAAAAAAAUAAAAAAUAAAUAUACAUAUAAAAAAAUAAAUAAUAAGUAAAUAUGCAAUAUAAGAAAUAGAAAUAUUACAUUAAAAAACUAAUAGGUAAAUAUACAAUACUAUACUAAUAAAAGGAAGCUUUUGAGACUACAUAGAGCGUCCACAUCAGCGGUAAAAAAUUCUUCUAAAAAAUGACAUUUGGCAUUAACAAAAAAUAAAAAAUAAAUAUAAAUAGAAAGAAAAAUAAAUAAUAAGUAAAUAUACAACAUAAGAAAUAGAAAUAUUACAUUAAACAUUUAUACGUAAAUAUACAAUAUAAGGAAAAAUAAAUGAAAAAUAAAUAUACAUUAUAAGAAAUAGAAAUAUUACAUUAAACAUCUAUAAUAAUUUAUCAUCUAAUAUAAAAGCAAGAAAAUUAGAAUAAGUAAAUAUAUAAUAAAAAAUAAAAAAAUUAUAUUAAACAUCUAUCUGAAAAAUGUAUCUAUACUAAUAAAAUGGAGCUUUUAAGGCUCAAUAGAGCGUCCACAUCAGCGAAAAAAAACAUUUUGUGAAAGAUGACACGUGUCAUCAGUAAAAAAUAAAAAAUAAAUAUACAUAUAAAGAAAAAUAAAUAAUAAGUAAAUAUACAAUAUAAAAAAGAAAAUUAUUACAUUAAACAAUAAUAAGUGAGGCUCCAUAGGGCGUCGACAUCAGCGGUAAAAAUGUUUUCUAAAAAAUGACACGUGGCAUUAACAAAAAAAUAAAAAAUAAAUAUACAUAUAAAAAAAUAAAUAAUAAGUAAAUAUGCAAUAUAAGAAAUAGAAAUAUUACAUUAAAAAACUAAUAGGUAAAUAUACAAUAUAAGAAAAAAUAAAUGAAAAGCAAAUAUACAUUAUAAGAAAUAGAAAUAUUGCAUUAAACAUCUAUCAUAAUUUAUCUUCUGAUAUAAAAGCAAGAAAAGCUUUUGAGGCUCCAUUGGGCGUCCACAUCAGCGGUAAAAAAAUCUUCUAAAAAAUGACAUUUGGCAUUAACAAAAAAUAAAAAAUAAAUAUACAUAGAAAGAAAAAUAAAUAAUAAGUAAAUAUACAGCAUAAGAAAUAGAAAUAUUACAUUAAACAUUUAUAGGUAAAUAUACAAUAUAAGGAAAAAUAAAUGAAAAGUAAAUAUACAUUAUAAUAAAUAGAAAUAUUACAUUAAACAUCUAUAAUAAUUUAUCAUCUAAUAUAAAAGCAAGAAAAUUAGAAUAAGUAAAUAUACAAUAAAAAAAUAAAAAAAUAUAUUAAACAUCUAUCUGAAAAUGUAUCUAUACUAAUAAAAUGGAGCUUUUGAGGCUCAAUAGAGCGUCCACAUCAGCGAAAAAAAAACAUUUUGUGAAAGAUGACACGUGUCAUUAGUAAAAAAUAAAAAAUAAAUAUACAUAUAAAGAAAAAUAAAUAAUAAGUAAAUAUACAAUAUAAAAAAUACAAUUAUUACAUUAAACAAUAAUAAGUGCGGCUCCAUAGGGCGUCGACAUCAGCGGUAAAAAUGUUUUCUAAAAAAUGACACUUGGCAUUAACAAAAAAAUAAAAAAUAAAUAUACAUAUAAAGAAAAAUAAAUAAUAAGUAAAUAUGCAAUAUAAGAUAUAUAAAUAUUACAUUAAAAAAUAAUAGGUAAAUAUACAAUAUAAGAAAAAAUUAAUGAAAAGUAAAUAUACAUUAUAAGAAAUAGAAAUAUUGCAUUAAACAUCUAUCAUAAUUUAUCUUCUGAUAUAAAAGCAACAAAAUUAGAAUAAGUAAAUAUAUAAUUAAAAAAUAAAAAAAAACUAUAUUAAACAUCUAUCUGAAAAAUUUAUCUAUACUAAUAAAAUAGAGCUUUUGAGGCUCCAUAAAACAUCUACAUCAGCGGAAAAAAAAACUUUUUCUAAAAGAUGAUACGUGUCAUUAAUAAAAAAUAAAUAUACAUAUAAAGAAAAAUAAAUAAUAAGUAAAUAUACAAUAUAAGAAAUAGAAUUAUUACAUUAAACAAUAAUAAGUAAAUAUACAAUAUAAGAAAAAAUAAACUAAAAGUAAAUAUACAAUAUAAGAAAUAUAAAUAUUACAUUAAACAUCAAUCAUAAUUUAUCAUUUGAUACAAUUAAGAAAUGAAAAAAAACUAAAUUAAAAAUCUAUCUGAAAAAUGUAUAGUGAAAUAAAUAAUAACUAAAUACACAACAUAAAAAUAGAAAUAUUAUAUUUUAUAAUUAUCGUAAUAUUAGAAUAAAUAAAUGAAAAUAUAAGAAAAAAUAAAUAUUAAGUAAAUAUAGUAUAUAAGAAAUAAAAAUAUUACAUUAAAUAUAUAUCGUAAUAUUAUC
Molecule: long non-coding RNA, 3280 nt
Filed under: Brassica rapa (field mustard)
Lineage: Eukaryota; Viridiplantae; Streptophyta; Magnoliopsida; Brassicales; Brassicaceae
Description: long non-coding RNA (BRAP_LNC007709)
Source: RNAcentral